AGAGUUUGAUCCUGGCUCAGAGCGAACGCUGGCGGCAGGCCUAACACAUGCAAGUCGAACGAACUCUUCGGAGUUAGUGGCGGACGGGUGAGUAACACGUGGGAACGUGCCUUUAGGUUCGGAAUAGCUCCUGGAAACGGGUGGUAAUGCCGAAUGUGCCCUUCGGGGGAAAGAUUUAUCGCCUUUAGAGCGGCCCGCGUCUGAUUAGCUAGUUGGUGGGGUAAUGGCCCACCAAGGCUACGAUCAGUAGCUGGUCUGAGAGGAUGACCAGCCACAUUGGGACUGAGACACGGCCCAAACUCCUACGGGAGGCAGCAGUGGGGAAUCUUGCGCAAUGGGCGAAAGCCUGACGCAGCCAUGCCGCGUGUAUGAUGAAGGUCUUAGGAUUGUAAAAUACUUUCACCGGUGAAGAUAAUGACUGUAGCCGGAGAAGAAGCCCCGGCUAACUUCGUGCCAGCAGCCGCGGUAAUACGAAGGGGGCUAGCGUUGCUCGGAAUUACUGGGCGUAAAGGGAGCGUAGGCGGACAUUUAAGUCAGAGGUGAAAUCCCGGAGCUUAACUUCGGAACUGCCUUUGAUACUGGGUGUCUUGAGUGUGAGAGAGGUAUGUGGAACUCCGAGUGUAGAGGUGAAAUUCGUAGAUAUUCGGAAGAACACCAGUGGCGAAGGCGACAUACUGGCUCAUUACUGACGCUGAGGCUCGAAAGCGUGGGGAGCAAACAGGAUUAGAUACCCUGGUAGUCCACGCCGUAAACGAUGAUUGCUAGUUGUCGGGAAGCUUGCUUCUCGGUGACGCAGCUAA
This 800-nucleotide ribosomal RNA is filed under the name uncultured bacterium. RNAcentral's name for it is "bacterial SSU rRNA". It matches the Rfam family "Bacterial small subunit ribosomal RNA", at positions 8 to 855 of the family's 1533-position model. The record is from RNAcentral.